Molecule: ribosomal RNA, 253 nt
Filed under: uncultured bacterium
Lineage: Bacteria
Description: partial 16S ribosomal RNA
Rfam family: Bacterial small subunit ribosomal RNA
Source: RNAcentral
UACGGGGGGAGCAAGCGUUGUUCGGAAUCACUGGGCGUAAAGGGAGUCUAGGCGGUUUGGUAAGUGGGAUGUGAAAUGCCCGGGCUCACCCCGGGACCUGCAUUCCAAACUGCUGAGCUUGAGUACAGGAGAGGGUGGGGGAAUUCCAGGUGUAGCGGUGAAAUGCGUAGAUAUCUGGAGGAACACCGGUGGCGAAGGCGCCCACCUGGCCUGCUACUGACGCUGAAGCUCGAAAGCUAGGGGAGCAAACGGG